AAUAGAUACCCAGGUAGUCCACGCCGUAAACGAUGAGUGCUAAGUGUUAGGGGGGUUUCCGCCCCUUAGUGCUGCAGCUAACGCAUUAAGCACUCCGCCUGGGGAGUACGGUCGCAAGACUGAAACUCAAAGGAAUUGACGGGGGCCCGCACAAGCGGUGGAGCAUGUGGUUUAAUUCGAAGCAACGCGAAGAACCUUACCAGGUCUUGACAUCCCGCUGACCGCUAUGGAGACAUAGCUUUCCCUUCGGGGACAGCGGUGACAGGUGGUGCAUGGUUGUCGUCAGCUCGUGUCGUGAGAUGUUGGGUUAAGUCCCGCAACGAGCGCAACCCUUGUCCUUAGUUGCCAUCAUUCAGUUGGGCACUCUAAGGAGACUGCCGUACAAAUACGGAGGAAGGUGGGGAUGACGUCAAAUCAUCAUGCCCCUUAUGACCUGGGCUACACACGUGCUACAAUGGACGGUACAAACGGUUGCGAAGUCGCGAGACGGAGCCAAUCCGAGAAAGCCGUUCUCAGUUCGGAUUGCAGG
RNAcentral lists this ribosomal RNA (529 nucleotides) under uncultured bacterium. RNAcentral's name for it is "bacterial SSU rRNA". It matches the Rfam family "Bacterial small subunit ribosomal RNA", at positions 777 to 1304 of the family's 1533-position model. The record is from RNAcentral.